This 301-nucleotide ribosomal RNA is filed under the name uncultured bacterium. Its description in RNAcentral is "partial 16S ribosomal RNA". It matches the Rfam family "Bacterial small subunit ribosomal RNA", at positions 509 to 808 of the family's 1533-position model. The record is from RNAcentral.
CAGUCGCCACGGGAAUACGUAGGGUGCAAGCGUUAAUCGGAAUUACUGGGCGUAAAGCGUGCGCAGGCGGUUUGUUAAGACAGAUGUGAAAUCCCCGGGCUCAACCUGGGAACUGCAUUUGUGACUGGCAAGCUAGAGUCUGGCAGAGGGGGGUGGAAUUCCGCGUGUAGCAGUGAAAUGCGUAGAUAUGCGGAGGAACACCGAUGGCGAAGGCAGCCCCCUGGGCCAACACUGACGCUCAUGCACGAAAGCGUGGGGAGCAAACAGGAUUAGAUACCGAGUAGUCCCUGUCUCUUAUACA